Molecule: unclassified non-coding RNA, 334 nt
Filed under: soil metagenome
Description: partial contains 5.8S ribosomal RNA, internal transcribed spacer 2, and large subunit ribosomal RNA
Rfam family: 5.8S ribosomal RNA (bases 2-120)
Source: RNAcentral
UAUGAAGAACGUAGCGAAAUGCGAUACGUAAUGUGAAUUGCAGAAUUCAGUGAAUCAUCGAAUCUUUGAACGCACAUUGCGCCUGCCAGCACUCUGGCAGGCAUGCCUGUUCGAGCGUCAUUUCAACCAUCAAGCCCUAGGCUUGCGUUGGAGCCCUGCGGCUGCCGCAGGCCCCUAAAAGCAGUGGCGGGCUCGCUAUCACACCGAGUGCAGUAGAUUACUCUUCGCUCAGGGCGUGUGGCGGGUUCCAGCCGUGAAACCCCCUACUUCCCAAGGUUGACCUCGGAUCAGGUAGGAAUACCCGCUGAACUUAAGCAUAUCAAUAAGCGGAGGA